RNAcentral lists this ribosomal RNA (410 nucleotides) under uncultured bacterium. RNAcentral describes it as "bacterial SSU rRNA". It matches the Rfam family "Bacterial small subunit ribosomal RNA", at positions 370 to 772 of the family's 1533-position model. The record is from RNAcentral.
AAUGGGCGGAAGCCUGAUCCAGCCAUGCCGCGUGAGUGAAGAAGGCCUUCGGGUUGUAAAGCUCUUUCGCAAGGAAAGAAAACUUAUCUACUAAUACUAGAUGAGGAUGACGGUACCUUGAUAAGAAGCACCGGCUAACUACGUGCCAGCAGCCGCGGUAAUACGUAGGGUGCGAGCGUUAAUCGGAAUUACUGGGCGUAAAGCGAGCGCAGGCGGUUUUGUAAGUCAGAUGUGAAAGCCCCGGGCUCAACCUGGGAACUGCGUUUGAAACUACAAGGCUAGAGUAUGGGAGAGGGAGGUAGAAUUCCACGUGUAGCAGUGAAAUGCGUAGAGAUGUGGAGGAAUACCAAUGGCGAAGGCAGCCUCCUGGCCUAAUACUGACGCUCAUGCUCGAAAGCGUGGGGAGCAAA